GACAGAGGGUGCAAACGUUGUUCGGAUUUACUGGGCGUAAAGCGCGUGUAGGCGGCUUUGCAAGUCGGAUGUGAAAUCCCACGGCUCAACCGUGGAAGUGCAUCCGAAACUGCAUGGCUGGAGUCCCGGAGAGGAAGGUGGAAUGCUUGGUGUAGAGGUGAAAUUCGUAGAUAUCAAGCAGAACACCUGCGGCGAAGGCGGCCUUCUGGACGGUGACUGACGCUGAGACGCGAAAGCGUGGGGAGCAAACAGG
RNAcentral lists this ribosomal RNA (253 nucleotides) under uncultured bacterium. RNAcentral's name for it is "partial 16S ribosomal RNA". It matches the Rfam family "Bacterial small subunit ribosomal RNA", at positions 524 to 776 of the family's 1533-position model. The record is from RNAcentral.